UUCAUGUGCUGGUUGUUCAUGCCUGUAAACAUCCCCGACUGGAAGCUGUGCUGUACGCAAAACAAGCUUUCAGUUGGAUGUUUGCUGCCAUCGUCCAGUUCUUUCG
Cyprinus carpio carpio is the source of this 106-nucleotide microRNA precursor. NCBI's taxonomy places the organism in Eukaryota, Metazoa, Chordata, Actinopteri, Cypriniformes, Cyprinidae. The record is from Ensembl.